Lepisosteus oculatus (spotted gar) is the source of this 119-nucleotide ribosomal RNA. The record is from Ensembl. Lineage: Eukaryota; Metazoa; Chordata; Actinopteri; Semionotiformes; Lepisosteidae.
GCUUACGGCUACACCCCCUUGAGCAUGCCUGAUUUCGUUUGAUCUCGGAAGCUAAGCAGGGACGGGCCUGGUUAGUUCUUGGAUGGGAGACUGGCUGGGAAUACCAGGUGCUGUAAGCU